GAAACAAGUGUUCAAGCACGUUGGUGAGGAAGUUUCUAGGCCGAGUUAUUGAGGAAAGAUUCACUCUGAAUGAGAGCCACACCACGCCACGGGCUGGCGGGCCGGGCACCUGCACCCACCUCAGUCUGCUUCCCGACUGUGGGGGCCACGUGACCUCUGUCUGCUUCCUGACUGUGGGGCCACGUGACCUCUGUCUGCGUCCUGACUGUGGAGGCCACGUGACCUCUGUCUGCUUCCUGACUGUGGGGGCCACGUGACCUCUGUCUGCUUCCUGACUGUGGGGGCCACGUGACCAGCAGCCUGUGUCCUCGCUGGACGGUCCUGUCAUACUGUACCUUGGUGGUUUGCCUGUGUGUAUAUCUGUGAAGAUGCCAGAUCUCCUGGAAUUGGAGCUACAGACAGUUGUGAGCUGCCGUGUGGUUUGCUAGGAAUCGUGGUCCUCUGGAAGAGCAGCCAGUUAACUACUGGGCCAUCACUCAGCCUGGGGCUUAACUCUUAAUAAAUGGGUAAGAAAGCGUCCCUUAGCAGUAGGCUAAACGAGGACGCUCACGUUUCCUGGAAGGCCUCCUGACGCCAUGAGUGCUCUUACCUCUAGCCAGCCAGACCAACAUCCAGGCACCUCAGAAGAGCUCCUCCCACACAUGCCCUAUGGCCCUAGCCUGAAAGGCACCAGCACCUCCUGAUGCCUCAGUUUCCUUAACUGCAAAAUGGGAGCAACCUGAAUGUGGCACCCAGGGGGUUGCUGUGAAGGGCCAAGGUGCCAUCAUUGGUGCACGGCAGCCUCUGGUCAAGUAACAGCCUCUUCAUGCCUGGGGCACACAGGUAGACAGAUGGUCAAUUCCUGGGUCAGGGCAGCACAGGACAGGCCCUCCUUCGCCCUCUGCUGGCAGGGAGGGCUUGGUGCAGGAGACAGGAAGGAGCAGCACCUCCGCUGACCACCGGAGGGCAGCCACGCCCAGGCAGCUCUGUGAUAGAACCCACGGGUGUGACUCAGCAGAGAAACCCAAACUUGGACCCGCUCACUUCCUGGCCAUGCCCUGACCUCUGUGUGACUGGACUGGGGCUGGAGACACAGAUGGUCCAACAGAGAGGGACAGCCAGGGGCAAGGCCACAGGCCUUGGGACUUGAACCUACCUGGAACACAAAAACAAGUUUUACUGACAUUGUGGCCCAGGUUGUGUGUCCAGGAAGAGCCCCUGGGCCCCUGCACUGUCUGUCCUGUGUCCCAGCUAGCCAAGGUGCAGGAAAACGGGCAGAGGUCACCACUUCUAUGUGGUACUGUGUGGCCACGUUAGAAAAAGGAAAGGGAUGUGGUAUUCACCAGUUGUCUGAGCCCAGCAAGUGCCUGGCAAGCAGGACAGGUAGCAGGACCGGAGGCCUGCCCCCCCAUACCCCAUACCCCCCCCCCCGUGGCCCCGUGGCCCACUCUAUAUCACUAGGGGCGUCUAUGAAGAACUGCAGAUUCCUGGAUCCCGCUGCAGCCCCUCCAGUGGGAAGGCCUCUCACCAGGCAAGGCCUGCAACUCAGCCAGCCACAUUCCCACCACUCGGCCCCUGGAGCCGACGCAUCGAUGUCCCGAAAGCCACGGGCCUCGGUAAAUCCCCACAGAUGGACCGGUGAGCGGCCUGGCCCAGGCAAUAACGGCCCAUUGAAUUCUGAUAGGGUCGUCCCCUGAACAGGUGGGAUAAAUCUUGGCUGGUCUCUGUCAGAACUUGGCUGAGUCAUCCGGGAUUAAAUUAAUAAUGAUUAAUAGGAGGCUCCUGGAAGCGGAGCCGCUGGGGAAGAGAUUAGAGCCUGUGCUCAUGCAGUCUUUCCUCCCCC
This is a long non-coding RNA of Apodemus sylvaticus (European woodmouse), 1822 nucleotides long. RefSeq lists it as uncharacterized. The record is from RefSeq and is a predicted model, not a curated record. The transcript is spliced from 2 exons. Lineage: Eukaryota; Metazoa; Chordata; Mammalia; Rodentia; Muridae.